Molecule: ribosomal RNA, 253 nt
Filed under: uncultured bacterium
Lineage: Bacteria
Description: partial 16S ribosomal RNA
Rfam family: Bacterial small subunit ribosomal RNA
Source: RNAcentral
UACAGAGGGUGCAAGCGUUGUUCGGAAUUAUUGGGCGUAAAGAGCGUGUAGGCGGCCAGGUAGGUCCGUUGUGAAAACUGGAGGCUUAACCUCCAGCGGUCGAUGGAAACCAUCUGGCUAGAGUCCGGAAGAGGAGAGUGGAAUUCCCAGUGUAGAGGUGAAAUUCGUAGAUAUUGGGAAGAACACCGGUGGCGAAGGCGGCUCACUGGCUCGUAACUGACGCUCAAGCGCGACAGCGUGGGGAUCAAACAGG